This 667-nucleotide ribosomal RNA is filed under the name Neogossea acanthocolla. RNAcentral's name for it is "partial large subunit ribosomal RNA". It matches the Rfam family "Eukaryotic large subunit ribosomal RNA", at positions 429 to 919 of the family's 3401-position model. Lineage: Eukaryota; Metazoa; Gastrotricha; Chaetonotida; Neogosseidae. The record is from RNAcentral.
GUUGGCUUAGUCUAAGUUGAGCUGGUAACACGUUAAAGGUUACCAGUUUGCUUGUAUGAUUUGCUACGGUUGUAUUUGUUGGCUUUGGGUCGCCGCGAUUGCCUUUUAUGAAGGACAGACGCUAACUGCUCUGAUCGAUGUGGGCCGUAAGAACUUUUCAUCCACGUCAACACUAACAUUGUUGCCCCAAGUACAUGGCUAGUCGAUAUUUUAUAACAGUUUAAGCGUUUCAACUGGUUAUCGUUCAUUUUGUAUUCAUAGGCUGAUCUUAAACAUGUUCACCUGUUCACUCUGAGGCGGCGGCAGCUCGCGUAUCGACGGAACAAAGACUGUAUUGGCGGCGUUUGACAACGAAUUAUCUACCUGACCCGUCUUGAAACACGGACCAAGGAGUCUAACAUAUGCGCGAGCCAUUGGGAUUUUAUUAACAAACCCAAAGGCAAAGUGAAAGCGAAAAUGGUGAGAUCUGUCGUUUAUUUGUUAAAAAUAACGGCGGCGCAUCAUCGUCACGCCUCGACUUGGCUUCGGCUGAAGAGGCGCAGACUGAGCGCAUAAGUUGGGACCCGAAAGAUGGUGAACUAUGCGAGGCGAGGUCGAAGCCAGAGGAAACUCUGGUGGAGGACUGUAGCGGUUCUAACGUGCAAAUUGAUCGUCGCAGCUUCGUAUA